UACGUGAGGGGCGAACGUUGUUCGGUGUCACUGGGCUUAAAGGGCGCGUAGGUGGUUGCGUAAGUAACGUGUGAAAUACCUCGGCUUACCCGGGGAAUUGCAUGUUAUACUGCGUGGCUUGAGGAUCAGAGGGGAAUGGGGAACUCCAGGUGUAGCGGUGAAAUGCGCAGAUAUCUGGGGGAAGGCCGGCGGCGAAGGCGCCAUUCUGGCUGAUUCCUGACACUGAGGCGCGAAAGCGUGGGGAGCAAACAGG
Molecule: ribosomal RNA, 253 nt
Filed under: uncultured bacterium
Lineage: Bacteria
Description: partial 16S ribosomal RNA
Rfam family: Bacterial small subunit ribosomal RNA
Source: RNAcentral